Molecule: long non-coding RNA, 566 nt
Organism: Vigna angularis (adzuki bean)
Lineage: Eukaryota; Viridiplantae; Streptophyta; Magnoliopsida; Fabales; Fabaceae
Exons: 3
Source: RefSeq, a predicted model, not a curated record
AUCUAUCAUUGGAAAGAACGAGAUAGAUGUUUAUUUAGAUGAACCAACAAUAGAUGAUGAUGAAGACAGUGAAGAUUUUGAUGUGCUCAAAUAUUGGAAGACUAAUGAGAAAAAGUUUGCCAUAUUGUCUAUAAUGGCUCGAGAUGUGUUUAGUAUUCCUAUUACUACAGUGGCAUCAAAGUCAGCUUUUAGUAAAGGUGGACGUGUACUUUCGAAAUAUAGAAGCUCCAUUCUUCCUGAGCAUGUGCAAAUGUUGAUUUGUACUCAAAAUUGGCUAUAUGGAUUUUCUGAAAAUCCUAGUGAUGAAAUUGUUGAAGAUAUUUUUGAUCAUGAGGGAAUUGAUGAGUCUAAACUUUUAGAAGAUGUUGAAAGUCUUCAACAUUGUGGGGAGUGAAAGUGAUCACAGGCUUUUCAUAACAAAGGGCCCGGAGUUACUGAAGAUUGGAACUUGUUUGGAAAGAAAUAUGCAAGGUUUAUAUUUUUUUUUUUGUUUAAUUGCAAUUUGAUGUUUAUGAUAUCAUUAGACCAUUGAUAAUCUACUUGUGAGCUGAAUAUUUUUUUCUAGU